AGAGUUUGAUCAUGGCUCAGAUUGAACGCUGGCGGCAGGCCUAACACAUGCAAGUCGAACGGUAACAGGAAUCAGCUUGCUGAUUCGCUGACGAGUGGCGGACGGGUGAGUAAUGUCUGGGAAACUGCCUGAUGGAGGGGGAUAACUACUGGAAACGGUAGCUAAUACCGCAUAAUGUCGCAAGACCAAAGAGGGGGACCUUCGGGCCUCUUGCCAUCGGAUGUGCCCAGAUGGGAUUAGCUUGUUGGUGGGGUAACGGCUCACCAAGGCGACGAUCCCUAGCUGGUCUGAGAGGAUGACCAGCCACACUGGAACUGAGACACGGUCCAGACUCCUACGGGAGGCAGCAGUGGGGAAUAUUGCACAAUGGGCGCAAGCCUGAUGCAGCCAUGCCGCGUGUAUGAAGAAGGCCUUCGGGUUGUAAAGUACUUUCAGCGGGGAGGAAGGGAGUAAAGUUAAUACCUUUGCUCAUUGACGUUAUCCGCAGAAGAAGCACCGGCUAACUCCGUGCCAGCAGCCGCGGUAAUACGGAGGGUGCAAGCGUUAAUCGGAAUUACUGGGCGUAAAGCGCACGCAGGCGGUUUGUUAAGUCAGAUGUGAAAUCCCCGGGCUCAACCUGGGAACUGCAUCUGAUACUGGCAAGCUUGAGUCUCGUAGAGGGGGGUAGAAUUCCAGGUGUAGCGGUGAAAUGCGUAGAGAUCUGGAGGAAUACCGGUGGCGAAGGCGGCCCCCUGGACGAAGACUGACGCUCAGGUGCGAAAGCGUGGGGAGCAAACAGGAUUAGAUACCCUGGUAGUCCACGCCGUAAACGAUGUCGACUUGGAGGUUGUGCCCUUGAGGCGUGGCUUCCGGAGCUAACGCGUUAAGUCGACCGCCUGGGGAGUACGGCCGCAAGGUUAAAACUCAAAUGAAUUGACGGGGGCCCGCACAAGCGGUGGAGCAUGUGGUUUAAUUCGAUGCAACGCGAAGAACCUUACCUGGUCUUGACAUCCACGGAAGUUUUCAGAGAUGAGAAUGUGCCUUCGGGAACCGUGAGACAGGUGCUGCAUGGCUGUCGUCAGCUCGUGUUGUGAAAUGUUGGGUUAAGUCCCGCAACGAGCGCAACCCUUAUCCUUUGUUGCCAGCGGUCCGGCCGGGAACUCAAAGGAGACUGCCAGUGAUAAACUGGAGGAAGGUGGGGAUGACGUCAAGUCAUCAUGGCCCUUACGACCAGGGCUACACACGUGCUACAAUGGCGCAUACAAAGAGAAGCGACCUCGCGAGAGCAAGCGGACCUCAUAAAGUGCGUCGUAGUCCGGAUUGGAGUCUGCAACUCGACUCCAUGAAGUCGGAAUCGCUAGUAAUCGUGGAUCAGAAUGCCACGGUGAAUACGUUCCCGGGCCUUGUACACACCGCCCGUCACACCAUGGGAGUGGGUUGCAAAAGAAGUAGGUAGCUUAACCUUCGGGAGGGCGCUUACCACUUUGUGAUUCAUGACUGGGGUGAAGUCGUAACAAGGUAACCGUAGGGGAACCUGCGGUUG
Molecule: ribosomal RNA, 1522 nt
Filed under: Shigella boydii
Lineage: Bacteria; Pseudomonadati; Pseudomonadota; Gammaproteobacteria; Enterobacterales; Enterobacteriaceae
Also listed under: 5 other names
Description: bacterial SSU rRNA
Rfam family: Bacterial small subunit ribosomal RNA
Source: RNAcentral